GAUAAAAGUCAGAAUGUGGUAUUAAUGAAUAACAAUUUCACGUUACAGAUACACACAUGAAUGUAGGAAGAGCGUGAAAUCUGGAUUUGGCUGUCUUUCAGGCAAUCCGCCAGCGAUAUCCAGUCUUACUACCAUGGCGUAUGCUCCAGUGUCCACAGUCACCUGGCACAGCUUAUCGCCGACCCAUCCCUGGGUGACCAGACUGGUGUGGGCCUUUUCCGUCAUGUUGAUACUGGUGGAACGAUAUAAUAUCAGAGCAAACGUCUUCAGUAUUUGCGGCAAAUAAAAGAAUAUAGGGAAGAGGGUCGCCCAAUCAUCUACAUGGAUGAAACCUGUAUUCAUUCAUCGCACACCACCCCAUAUGCAUGAAGUGAUGGAUCCAUCCAGGGAUUAUUUUCCCCUGUGACCAAAGGCCAGCGGCUCAUUGUUAUUCAUGCAGUGGGAGAGCAAGGUUUCAUCCCUAAUGCCUAUGUCUGCUUUAAAUCCCACCAAAAAACAGAAGACUACCACAGUGAACCAAUUAUGAAAAAUCGUUAAAGGAGCGACUUAUUCCUAACCUUCCCCCAAAUUCUGUCCUUGUCAUUGACAAUGCUCCCUACCAUAAUGUACAACUAAACAGAACCCCUAACCCAAAUUCAAGAAGACAUUUUAUGAUAUCCUGGCUAAAAUAUCGCCUUCCACCUACCACCUUCAGUAACACUGAUUUUUCAUCAUUGCAGAAUCCAGACAUAUAUAAUGUGAUCCUACCACUCAAACUGAAAUACCUUU
This is an RNA transcript of Cryptotermes secundus, 768 nucleotides long. RefSeq lists it as uncharacterized. NCBI's taxonomy places the organism in Eukaryota, Metazoa, Arthropoda, Insecta, Blattodea, Kalotermitidae. The record is from RefSeq and is a predicted model, not a curated record. The transcript is spliced from 2 exons.